RNAcentral lists this ribosomal RNA (241 nucleotides) under uncultured bacterium. Its description in RNAcentral is "partial 16S ribosomal RNA". It matches the Rfam family "Bacterial small subunit ribosomal RNA", at positions 524 to 761 of the family's 1533-position model. The record is from RNAcentral.
GACGAAGGAUGCAAGCGUUAUCCGGAUUCAUUGGGUUUAAAGGGAGCGUAGGUGGCCUUAUAAGUCAGUGGUGAAAUCUUCGAGCUUAACUCGGAAAUUGCCAUUGAUACUGUAGGGCUUGAGUAUAGUUGCCGUUGGCGGAAUAUGACAUGUAGUGGUGAAAUACAUAGAGAUGUCAUAGAACACCGAUGCGAAGGCAGCUGACGAAACUAUAACUAGACACUGAAGGCGGUCGAAAGUG